AUAUCGACAAAGAAACGGUGUGAGAUAUUGUUAUUAACGGAAUAGAA
Molecule: non-coding RNA, 47 nt
Filed under: Trypanosoma lewisi
Lineage: Eukaryota; Euglenozoa; Kinetoplastea; Trypanosomatida; Trypanosomatidae
Source: RNAcentral